GAGUAACGCGUGGGUAACCUGCCUCAUACAGGGGGAUAACAGUUAGAAAUGGCUGCUAAUACCGCAUAAGCGCACAGUGCUGCAUGGCACAGUGUGAAAAACUCCGGUGGUAUGAGAUGGACCCGCGUCUGAUUAGCUAGUUGGUGGGGUAACGGCCUACCAAGGCGACGAUCAGUAGCCGGCCUGAGAGGGUGAACGGCCACAUUGGGACUGAGACACGGCCCAAACUCCUACGGGAGGCAGCAUG
RNAcentral lists this ribosomal RNA (247 nucleotides) under uncultured bacterium. RNAcentral's name for it is "partial 16S ribosomal RNA". It matches the Rfam family "Bacterial small subunit ribosomal RNA", at positions 108 to 353 of the family's 1533-position model. The record is from RNAcentral.